UUCUUGUUUCAUACCUUCUUGAUUUUUCAGCAUCAACCUCGGGAGUAGAUGGGAGCUUGUCGGUAUCUAGAUUUCCCGUUGAUCAUGAAAUCAAUUUGAGGAUUUAUUUGUAGAUGGAUUCUGUUGUAAAUUCAACCAAUGAGGUGUUCAAUGAUCCCACGACAUUAACAAAGGAGGAGCUGUAUGAUUUGCGAGACCGCUAGGCAACUUGUUUUCUUGACCUAUAUAAUCCUGAGAUAGAUUAUGAUGAUGCCGAUGAGAAAGAUUAGGAGCUAGCUAGCUAGGUUUGUGUGAAGUUACAAUGGAUUAGUAUUAAUUAUGAUGAUGUUUUUAUUUGUAUUUUGGAUGUUCAAUGGUUGUAUUUUAACGACAUUAUUACUAUAUGUUGAAUGUUGAAUUUUAGUAUUAUGUUCUUGAUGCAAGUUAUGUUA
Long non-coding RNA from Trifolium pratense (red clover), 431 nucleotides. RefSeq lists it as uncharacterized. NCBI's taxonomy places the organism in Eukaryota, Viridiplantae, Streptophyta, Magnoliopsida, Fabales, Fabaceae. The record is from RefSeq and is a predicted model, not a curated record. The transcript has 2 exons.